GAUGAAAUAUGUUGUUUUAAUUUCAUGUGUCUGUAUUAGCCUUUACACUAUGAGUUUAAACUGCAUUUGAAAUUUGAUCUCAGUUUGGGUUGAAGCAUUAGACACAUCAGUAAAAAUGUUGUGAACAGAGUUUAGGUUACAUUCCUGGACACCAGUGACGGUUUUAUGUUAUAUCUAAGCACUGUAAAGCUGAAUAACCCUUGGUAAAGGAAAAGGCAGUUGCCUAAGAAAUAACAUUUGCUUUCACCGCUGAAGUGAAACGUCUUUUCACGGGUUCUGUCACAGUUGAUAAAAACAAACAUUAUAGAAAACAAAACACCCAAAGAUGGAGCUGACUAAAACUAUAUGGGCUUGGUCAGUGUGUGAAAAUGAGUGUGUGAGUCUGGUCUUCAGAUCCUGGGUGAAUGAGUGUCUCUCUGUGUUGGGAUCCCAGAUGCUGAUCUUGAGCUCCCAGUCAGGAGAACAAGCAGUAAGGAGACGCUGCCACCAAACAUGUCUGAAGUCCAGGCUGUUUUUUCUGAACCAGUGACCAGAGAGGAGUUCUCACAGUACUCCUGUCACUUCACACUGGAUCC
Molecule: long non-coding RNA, 575 nt
Organism: Clupea harengus (Atlantic herring)
Lineage: Eukaryota; Metazoa; Chordata; Actinopteri; Clupeiformes; Clupeidae
Exons: 3
Source: RefSeq, a predicted model, not a curated record